This 472-nucleotide long non-coding RNA is filed under the name Olea europaea (common olive). Its description in RNAcentral is "long non-coding RNA (OEUR_LNC012919)". The record is from RNAcentral. Lineage: Eukaryota; Viridiplantae; Streptophyta; Magnoliopsida; Lamiales; Oleaceae.
UCGGGUGGAAGUUUUAAAGCAUAGAUUUCUUUCUUCCAAAAUGAGAAACUCGCAAAAGCAUUUCAACAAUCAUACAAAAGAGAAUGCUAUAAUCCCGAUUUUCCCUUUCAUUAAUAACAAGAUAUUCCGUGAAUGAUGGAUCACAUUUCUAGGAAGAGAGCACUUAUUCACCAAAAUUGAAUUUGAAAUAUUCAUUUAUAAAUUAACUUUCCGAAGGAUCAGCCACUAAUAUUCUUGACAGUCAAUAGUUGUCUAACACAUAUCAAUAUACUCUAAGAAAUCAUUUUAUGUUAGUGUUAACAAAUAAUAGCUUUACAAAAUUGUAUUACAAUUUCACUGUUGCAAAUCACUAAUAGGUGAACAUACAAAAAAUAGACACAAGCUUUAUAUCAAUGCCAAAUAGAGGAUGCUCUUUUCUCAGCUACAAUGAAUUCACCUUCGGGCACAGUCCUUCGUCCACUUUCUGCACCAA